RNAcentral lists this ribosomal RNA (729 nucleotides) under uncultured bacterium. RNAcentral's name for it is "bacterial SSU rRNA". It matches the Rfam family "Bacterial small subunit ribosomal RNA", at positions 69 to 813 of the family's 1533-position model. The record is from RNAcentral.
GAAGCUUCGGCAGAUCGGAAAUUAUCUUAGUGGCGGACGGGUGAGUAACGCGUGGGUAACCUGCCUCUGACCGGGGGAUAGCAGUUGGAAACGACUGAUAAUACCGCAUAAGCCCACAGGAUGGCAUCAUCCAGGGGGAAAAACUCCGGUGGUCAGAGAUGGACCCACGUCUGAUUAGCCAGUUGGUGAGGUAACGGCUCACCAAAGCGACGAUCAGUAGCCGGCCUGAGAGGGCGGACGGCCACAUUGGGACUGAGACACGGCCCAAACUCCUACGGGAGGCAGCAGUGGGGGAUAUUGCACAAUGGAGGGAACUCUGAUGCAGCGACGCCGCGUGAAGGAAGAAGUAUCUCGGUAUGUAAACUUCCAUCAGCAGGGAAGAUAGUGACGGUACCUGACUAAGAAGCCCCGGCUAACUACGUGCCAGCAGCCGCGGUAAUACGUAGGGGGCAAGCGUUAUCCGGAUUUACUGGGUGUAAAGGGAGCGUAGACGGACUGGCAAGUCUGAUGUGAAAGCCCGGGGCUCAACCGCGGGACUGCUUUGGAAACUGUCUGUCUGGAGUACUGGAGGGGUAAGCGGAAUUCCUAGUGUAGCGGUGAAAUGCGUAGAUAUUAGGAGGAACACCGGCGGCGAAGGCGGCUUACUGGACAGCAACUGACGUUGAGGCUCGAAAGCGUGGGUAGCAAACAGGAUUAGAUACCCUGGUAGUCCACGCUGUAAACGAUGAA